Molecule: long non-coding RNA, 2178 nt
Organism: Symsagittifera roscoffensis
Lineage: Eukaryota; Metazoa; Xenacoelomorpha; Acoela; Convolutidae
Exons: 3
Source: RefSeq, a predicted model, not a curated record
CUUUAGCAUGUGCUUUUUAACUUUGGCAUGUAAGCCAUUUUUGAAAGAUUAUUUUCAUAUCACUCAGAAGUUAUUAUUGUUCUGAGCUUAAAUUUGAAAAGAUAUUACACCUGUGAUCUUUUUUCGUAAAAUUAUGGGGUUUAAAGGUUGCCAUUUUGGCCAAUUUGGGACAAUUAACGCGCGAUAUAAUUCGCGCUAUCAAUGCGUGAGCAGAAAUUUAUUCCGUCUUAGAAAUCGCACCAAAUUGGUUCAAAAAAGCUUAUUUGCUACAAUUGAUUUGUUACAAGGAGCAAAAUUUAUCCUUUUGUACUUUAUAUGUCGUCACAAUUACAAAACCUUGUAAGUUAAGCAAAUCAAUUCAACAUAUCAAUACUAUUAACAACUUCUUACCUUCAGUUUUCCCGAGAAAAAAAAGUUAUUCCAAAUGACCUUUUCAAGAAACAUAACACGAGUUUCAGCUAUUAUUGUAUUCCUUUUACUUAUUUGCUUAUUUUUUGUUUCCCAAAAUAAUCAAGUAACAAAGUUAAAGACGUUUCCUCAAAUUUUAUCGCUAAAUCGACUAUAUACUGAAUCGAUCCUACUCAAAGACGAAACUCGUCAGCUGAAUAUAUCAAAGUUUUCACAAAAAAUUCAACCAGUAUUUGUAAACUCAACGCUUGAAACACUUUUCGACCGAAAUCAGAAAUCAUUGUUUGAGUUGGAAUCGCUGUUGACGGAUGGUAUUGCAGUGGGAAAAUUGAGAAUGGAACGCUUGAAAAUUUUUUGUGCUUCUGAAACUUAUCUGAAUCACAAAAAAAGCUUCUGUUGGCUCAAAAGUGAUUGCCCAUUUCAGCAGUUACGGUGUCUAUGAGUGCAUUGUCCCAAAAUCAGGUACUUCGACUCGAAGUUACAAUAUGUACUGGCCGUUCUACCACGGAAACACCACUCCUGUCAGACCCUUCUAUCAUCACAUGAAUGAUACACUUGUGCCGCACAGCAUUCCUAGUCGACUUUCGAGACAGAACAGAACAGGGAUCUUGAUAACUCCCCCCUCCCUCCGCCUUCCCUCUAUGCCACCUAGUGGCGACUUGUUUCAACUAUAAAAAUAAUUCAAUAGUAAACCAGAUACUAAUGCCAAUGCUGUAAGGAAAAAAUAAGAAACUUCAUUGAGCCGAUUAAGAUGAAGUUAAAUAUCGAAAUUAAUUUAGUUACUCAAUCCAAACUGGUCUCUGUUUUGAUCAUAUGCAUAUAUUCUGUUAUCUCGUUUUUUUGACAACAUUUCAAAUUGUUUUUCUUACAAGAUAUUCCAAGAAUAUUGCAAGAUUCUUGCAAUAUAACCUCCCUAUUUCAAGGUUCUUACAAGAUAACGCCUAUCUUGCAAAAACUCAUUAUCAAUAAUCUUGCAAGAUCUUGUAAGAUAACUUUCCUUAAUUGACUAGGGUACCAUCGAACGAAUUUCCCUGCUCCUUUUUACUAAAGGGGUAAAGUUAACAAGAUCCCAAAAAUAGAUUAUCCAUUUGGGUUUAUGUUCGUCCGAGACCCAUUUGAACGUGCUAUUUCAGCCUAUUACAAUAAAGUGGCAACAAAUUUGUUGUUAAGAGGACGAAAUUUCACACUAAGUACUUAUUUCAAGCAUUUAGCCGAGGAAAACGAAAGGAAUUUUCAUUUCGUACCACAAAUGUCUCUUUGUGAUCCUUGCAAACUGAACAUUAGCUACCUAGGACGAACGGAAACAAUACUAAGGGAUGUCGACAUUAUCGUAAACCACAAAACAUCUCUUCACGAAAAAAUUGACUUUUCUUUGGAAAAUAAGAACCAAACUGGUUGGAGAAUAAAGGAGACAAAAUAUCAACCCAGAGAGCUCAUCUACAAUCAGUUAGACAAACAGAUUAUGAAAAAUUUGCGUGGAAGUAUUGGAUCGAUUUUAUGGCUUUUGGAUACAAUCCGCACACUUUUCUUCAAACUUCUGAAAUAAAAAAUUUAUAUUGUGAAUUCUUCAAUGCUCAUUUGGAAACACUAUAAAAAAAUUGUAAAGUUCAAAACUAUCAUGGCGUGAAAUAAAAAUAAAAUUGAUAAGUAUUCUUUGUAAGAAUUGUAAAUAUAAACGAUGUAAUUUUUUUAAUUUCUCAAAUAAAUAAAUAGAUGCAACUAUAUUGACACGAGGGACUUUUAUCUUAAUUUGAACCCCAAAUAAAAAGA